UAAUCCGUAAGACUUUCUAAGAUAACAAUACGAAUACUAAAAAUCUGGACUAAAAAUAAGUUUCAAUUUGUUAGCGGGCAUGACGUAAAACAGCAAAUCAAAGAAUUCAACUUUAUUUAUAACUAAUAUAGGACAAUGCUGUUGAUUAAAAAAUACUCCAUUCCAGGACCUUUUGUUUUCCAAAUAUUUAAUAUUACCAAUAAUUGAUAAGUUCCAGUUCGACGGGUUCAAACAGAAAGAUUUGAAAGCAGAGAAAAUUGUGUAUCUUAUAAUCGGCAU
Molecule: long non-coding RNA, 279 nt
Filed under: Mytilus galloprovincialis (Mediterranean mussel)
Lineage: Eukaryota; Metazoa; Mollusca; Bivalvia; Mytilida; Mytilidae
Source: RNAcentral